This 558-nucleotide small RNA is filed under the name Pan troglodytes (chimpanzee). RNAcentral's name for it is "processed transcript". The record is from RNAcentral. Lineage: Eukaryota; Metazoa; Chordata; Mammalia; Primates; Hominidae.
AGAUAGAGAGGGAGUGAGAGGCAGGAGCUGAGACACAGAUCCUGGAGGAAGAAGACCAAAGGAAGAGGGCAGAGACAGAAAGGGAGGUGCUAGGACAAAACUCGAAAGGUGGCCCUAUCAGGGAAGCAGAGGAGAGGCCGUUCUAGGGAAGCCCAGCUCCGGCACUUUUGGCCCCAACUCCCGCAGGGGAACAAGCUGGAGGAGCAGGGCCCUAGACCUCUGCAGCCCACACCAGGGCUCAUGGAGGGGAACAAGCUGGAGGAGCAGGACUCUAGCCCUCCACAGUCCACUCCAGGGCUCAUGAAGGGGGACAAGCGUGAGGAGCAGGGGCUGGGCCCCGAACCUGCGGCGCCCCAGCAGCCCACGGCGGAGGAGGAGGCCCUGAUCGAGUUCCACCGCUCCUACCGAGAGCUCUUCGAGUUCUUCUGCAACAACACCACCAUCCACGGCGCCAUCCGCCUGGUGUGCUCCCAGCACAACCGCAUGAAGACGGCCUUCUGGGCAGUGCUGUGGCUCUGCACCUUUGGCAUGAUGUACUGGCAAUUCGGCCUGCUUUUC